CGUGAACCAGGACUCCUCUUGAGUUCUAGAGAAGACAGGAAGCAGAUGUGUGGGCAUGUGUGGGGUGGGGGAGUGGGGGUCUGUGAAGAAGCUCCAGUUGGAGCAUCUGCUUUGUAUCAAGAGGCCGCAGAGGAUGCCCUGUCUCAUGUGGUGAAGCCUGGAGUAGUGCUUCUUCACUUCACUCUGCAGGCAUCACCUGCAGGCUGCGAUUCAGGAGGUCUGGGGCAGGGCUGAAAGCUGCCUUUCCGGCGAGUGUCCAGAUGCCCUGCCUGGAUCACACAUUGAGUAGCAAGGCUGUGGGGGUGCCCUGGGGUGUGGUGGAUGGGGGUCUGUGCUGUGAGAGGAUAGAGAGACCCUUCAUCAGGCUAUUUCAGGGGCCUCAGUGGCCACGCUGGAGCUGUUGAGACCGAUGGCUGGAACAGAAGUAAAGACAGAUGGGAACCCGGAUGCACAAGGUGGGUGGUGCCACCGAGAGCCUGUCUGUGGAGCCCUGGACGUUCCGAAAUAUACAUCCUGAACUGAUGUGAGAGUGAUGGGAACUCUUUUAAUGCUCAUGUUCUUCUUUUUGGCUGUGAUUCUUUUCCAACCAAAAGUCAUACAGUGAAGCUAGUUGGCUUCUGUGUGACUCUCUGUUAUUUUAGUGAAUAGUAAUACUUUUGCCCUAAAAGGGUCAAUUUAUGAGUAUAAAGAACUUAUUGUUUGCUAGGGAGCAACUUGUGCAUACUGGCUAUCAAAUGGCCUGAAUUUUAGACCACUUGACUGUGUGUCUGUACCUAGGCUUUGAUUUCCAGAGCAUUGAUACUUCUGUAUUUUCUAUGCAAAUUUAUAUACACAUAUAUAUUCCAUAUAAAUGUUACAUAUACAUAAACAUCAAAGUCAUUAAAUCCCGGAAUCUUAGAGCCGAAUGGUAAAGAUUAGUCCAAUCCUCUUAUUUUUAUGUGAGCUAUUAAGGUAUUAAAAAAAUUUAAUGAGUUGGGCAUGCUUGUGUGUAGAAGUCUUACUGGUUGACUUAGGAUCUAAAGCACUAAGCUAGGCCACCUUAUCACAUUCUAUUAUGAAUAGGACAAAGAGGGCUACUUUUCUUUUGGGGAUAGAAAAGCAGCUUCAGGAUUAAUAUAGGGUUGACUUUUGUGUUUCCAUAGUCACCAUCUGUUGGUGGCAAGGCAUUCAGUCCCUGGGAAGAAUCAUCUUUUGCAUAAAUAUUUUGCACAGGCUGUGAUAUUGUAAUUUUUAAUAUUAAAAAAUCCUUACUAUUCAUUCUUGUAAUUACUUUUUCAUAAAACAUCUCUUACUUAUUAUAAAAACAAAAUCGUCCUUUACUUGUGUGCAGAAUGGGCAUUUGAAAGCGACAAGGGUUCUGCUGGCCCUGGUUACCCUGAGGUUGGUGUCCACUCGUGAAUGUCAGCUGCCUGGGGAGGGGACAUGACUCAGAACAAGGUCUGUCUUUUGAAUAGUUUGUCCCUAUUUACUGCCUUUCAGUGAUGGCAACAAAGCUUUUCAUGGUUGCAAACACAAUGUAAACUUGUUCUAAUAAAUGUAUGCAGUUCAACUAAGUGAAUAGUGAGAACUCCUGACUGUUUAGCUGGUGGAUAAGGGGGAGGGUGGGUGGAGGUAAGGAAGAAGAGCUCUCUGACAAUAGAUCUGUCAAUACCAAGGUCCAAAGACCCAAGCAGUUCAAUUCACUAAGUUCCUAACAGGCAGCAUAGGGUUUGUCAUAGAAAAGCAGGAAUGUUGGCCAGCGGAAGCAACCUGCUCAGUUACCGAGCACCCCUUGAUCCAGCAGAGCCUGAAGUUGCAUCUUUGACUAUGAAAACUAGCCUUCCCAGUGUUCUGUGACCCCAGCUGCAGCACAGUUCUAUCUCUUGCGUGUUAAGUGAGAUUCUCAGGCAGAUAUGAAUCAGUCCAGCAUGUCUGAGUACCACCCUGUGGAUGGCACUUUGGGAAUGCCCAGAAUUAAAGUUAUAGCUCUGUUCUCUAGCAUUGGUAGAAGGAUAAAGGCCAUAUCCCCACAUAUCCACCUACAAAACCACACAAAGAUAUGCGGGGCACCAUACAUGGUUUAUUGUCAAUAUAGAAAAGGAACACUGAGUUAAACAGCAGGUGAAAUCACUGUUGAUCUGAACAGGAAAUAUAUAUUUCUGCUCCCCAGAGCCUCCAUCUAAGAGGGAGGAAGACAGAGAGAAUAAUGAUGGUAAAGGCAGUGGAGGAAUUAGGCCAGGUGGGGCAGGUGGGAAAGUUUAGAGAGGUGUAUAAUACACACACAUGGGAUGGCUUCAUCUCAAACACACUGUGUUUUUUCCUGCCCCUGCCCCUUGCUCUCAAGGUUCUUCUUUGAGUCCCCCCUCAUCCUUUCGAGUUCAAAACCUGCACGAACUUCAAGUGCAACCUCCUGCUGCCUUCCCAAGAGUAUUCCUAGGCUAUCGCAAAUCUAACUAAAAGCUCUCCCAUCACUUUUCAAGCCAGUUUGUUGGGUAGUCUGUCCUCAUUGCUCCUGGGGAAGGCAGAACAGUGCAGGCACCCCACUGAAGCCAGGAUGGAGCAGAGUACUUUCUGUGGGUAGAUUCAUUCAUUCAGUGAUGCUUGUUGGAUGCCUAUUACCUGGUGUCAGGCACUGUUCUCAUGCUACAGGUGAUGAGCGAAAGAGAAAAGUAGCCACACCUUUGGAGCAGAGACCAUCGGGAAUACAGAUAGGAAAAUGGUAUUAUAGCACAGGGGAGAAAAUGCAAGGGUGGUAGAUGUGUGCAGAGUUCAAGAACAAGUAGGAGGGCCUAUUACCAGGUCCAAGUGUGUACUGCUCACUGCACAACAGACCAGCAAAUCAAGAGAUGGGGUGUUGGGACAAGGAAUAGCCACUUUAUUUGGAAAGCCAGCAGAUGGAGAAGAUGAUGGACUAGUGUCCCAAAGAACCAUAUACCCAAGUUAGAAUUCAGGCUUCUUUUAUACUAAAAGAGGGGAGAGUAUGGCUGGUUGUCUCAGACUUCUUGGUGCCAGAAUCCUUUGUUCUUGCAGCUGUCCAGGUAGGUCUGGUCACAAAGUUGCUGUAAUCAUCCAAUAAGACAAUUGCUAUUUUCUGUUCUGCAACAUGUUAUCUCUAUAUGAAUGGGAAAGUGUUAUCCCUUUAAAGAUCAGAGCCUUGAGAGUGGGCUAUUCUGUCUAUUUCAGGCUAUAGGCAACAUUCCUUUACAAGGGUGCAGAGCCAGCAUGACUAAACACAAGCAACAGAGCACAGGGGCUAGAGCUAAAGGAAUAGAUGCAAUAUGGAGUCAGGUUUGUUCUUCUCUGGUACAACCCAAACCAGACUGAUCAAGAAAGGAUUCCCAGAGGUACAUUUGAACUGAGUCUGGAAGAAGUAGGCAUUAAGUAUAAAUGAAGAAAUAUUCAUUCAGCAUUUAGAAAAUCUUGUCAGGCAUAAUACCCACAUUUCAUAUGCCUUUCCAAAUCAUUGUGUUAAGCCAUCUCAGUCCUCGGAAGCAUCAUCAUCAUUUUCUUAAGGAUCCACCUGCUCUCUAGAUGAUGCCCUACAGUGAAGAGGGCGAGGGUAUCCCAGAGUCUGUGACACGUUUCUUGGUUUAGUUACCAUUUAAAGAACUUUUUACAAAAGAGCGUAUAAGUGAUACAUGAUGAUUGGGGAUGAGAAAGGAAAAAAAAAUAAAAAUAAAAAACCACACACACCCAAAUCCUACCAGCCAGAGGUGGCAAUCACUUGUAACACUUUUGUCUCACAUCCGUCCAGAUGUUUUCCUGCAAGCUUGUCUUUUUUUUCCUUUAAUCUUUUUUUUAUUCUUUCAAAAAUAAGAUCCUACUAUUUGUGAUACAUCCUGAUCUAUAGCCUGCCUUUUGCAGGCCCUAUUUUGUGACCGUCUGGAUUAUUUCCUAGAGUAUAAGCUUUGCGGUGAAGUAAUUCUGAGUGCCUCACUCCACCUGCGGUUUGCUUUGUGAUUCCAAUAGACAUGCAGAGGAUCCAUUUUCAGAUUUUUUAUACUUACAUAGGCAGGGUUGGUCUUAGGGAUACUGGUGGUUUAAAGACAAAAAGGAGGGGAAGGAAGAGGAACUCUACCUUGAAGUGAUGUUUAAAGUACGUUUUCUGGGGCAUUUUACAUUAAAUGGUACAUAUCCCUAAUUGUUGGUUUUAUUUACCUAAAGGUUCCUGGGGAGACCAGCUGGCUUUAAGUUACAAGAUAUCAAAAGACUAAAGUUUGCAUGCCCUUCUAGGAUGACUUCAUUUGAAUUUCCCUUUUUUAACUAAGUUGAUAUUUUGCUAAUGAUGUAAUUAUUUAUUUAGGCUUUUAAAUGAUGCUGUGCAAAUACCUUAUGCAAUGCUUUCUUUCUUUUUCUUUUAAGCACCUUGUAUUUAUUUUUGUUAAGCCGGGAAACACACAUCACAGCUGGGAACAACUAAUGAGUGCAUUCAUUUUCUCUGAAGAUUCAUGAUUCAGUUUCACACUCUUGAAUACAGGUGACAAAUGGUGGGAGUGACAUGCCAGGUAGAGGCGAGAGCAGGGUGGAGUCCAGAGAGGCAGGGAAAGGGUCCUUGGGGCAGAGGUGGUCCCAGCUGUGCAGGAUUGCCAGAUAAAAUCUCCUCAUUUUUAAAAUAAUGGUGUUCAUAUAGUCUCAUUUUAAGUUUUGGGAAGAUAAAAUGAGAAACAGCCUUAACUUCCAACAACAAAAUACACAUUCAGGUUCAAGGUGGUAAUGAGAGAAACCCAAACAUGAUGCUCCUGGGAAUUUGUGAUGAUACCACAUUUCACGUGAGUCAAUGUGGCUUUGAGAAGUCUCUAUGUCCAGCGCAGUAUUAAAAAUCACAUCUGGAGUUCCCUUUAUGGCUCGGGGGUUAAGAACCCCACUAGUAUCCAUGAGGAGGUGGGUUCAGUGAGUGGGUUAAGGAUCCAGCGUUGCUGCAAGCUAUGGCAUAGGUCAAAGAUGCAGCUUGAAUCUGGUGUUGCUUCGGCUGUGGUGUAGGCCGGAAGCUGCAGCUCUGAUUUGACCCAUAGCCCAGGAACUUCCAUAUGCCACAGGUGUGGCCUUAAAAAGAAAAAAAAAAAGUUUUUAAUCACAUCUGGUUAUUUCUCCCUUCUGAACCAUUCAGGAACCUGUGAGGACUGACUAGUGCUGUCCCUGUGGGUACCACUUAUGCGCGGAGUACCACAAGUAACUAGGAAGCGUGGGAGAGACUGACCAUCACACUGGCUUUUAGUUUUGUCUAAGAAAAAUGUCAACUUGGAGUUCCCAUUGUGACUCAGUGGUUUAAGAACCCGACUAGCAUCCAUGAGAAUGUGGGUUUGAUCCCUGGCUUCACUCAGUGGGUUAAGGAUCUUGCAUUGCCGUGAGCUGUGGUGUAGGUCACAGAUGCAGCUUGGAUCUCGUGUUGCUGUAACCGUGGCAUAGGCCGGCAGCUGCAGCUUGGACUCGACCUCUAGCCUGGGAACCUCCAUAUGCUGCAGGUGCGGCCCUAAAAAAAAAAAAAAGAAAAAAAG
RNAcentral lists this long non-coding RNA (5474 nucleotides) under Sus scrofa (pig). Its description in RNAcentral is "lncRNA (ENSSSCG00015001720.1)". Lineage: Eukaryota; Metazoa; Chordata; Mammalia; Artiodactyla; Suidae. The record is from RNAcentral.